Molecule: transfer-messenger RNA, 313 nt
Filed under: Candidatus Karelsulcia muelleri
Lineage: Bacteria; Pseudomonadati; Bacteroidota; Flavobacteriia; Flavobacteriales
Description: Candidatus Sulcia muelleri tmRNA
Rfam family: transfer-messenger RNA
About the family: Bacterial tmRNA, also known as 10Sa RNA or SsrA, is named for its dual tRNA and mRNA-like properties.
Source: RNAcentral
CUUUGGUUUUGACAUAAAGUAAAUAUAAUAAGAAAGCAUAUCGUGAAAUGUAAUGUAAUCACGUAAAAAAUUCAUUACAAAGAAAUAAGAGGCGAAACCAAGAAUUACUCUCUUGCAGCUUAAGUACUUAAGCUAAGACAGUUAAGAAGUAAGUUAUGCAAUUAUUUGUUUCUUUUUAUUCUUCUACUUUUAGGGCUUAUAACUAAAAUUAGAUUAUAACUUUUAUAAGCUAAAUAUGUAGACGUCUUAUUAUAUUACUUUUUGGACACGGGUUCGAAUCCCGUCAGCUCCAUUAAAGAGAAAUUCCUUAUAA